GGUUGAUCAGGAAUUACAGGUGACGGCAGGAAAUUGACUGGUGGUUGAUCAGGGAAUAUCGGUGACGGAAGAAAGUUGUUUGGUGGUUGAUCAGGAAAAAUCGGUGAAGGCAGAAAAUUGGUCGGUGGUUGAUCAGGAAACAGUGGAGAUGGCAUAAAACUGUUUGGUGGUUGAUCGGGAAUCACUGGCUGGUUAUCUGCUGGCGGAAAAAUAGGGACAAGCGGUGUAGCUGGAGGUAAAUUUUGUUCCGGCGGUGGAAGAGUGAAAAUUGGAGGUGGAGAAAAUAUGGGAAGAAGUGGUGUAGGUGGGGGGAAAUCCUGUUCUGGUGGAGAAAAUAUGGGCACCAGUGGAGUUUCUGGUGGAAAAUCUGGUGGUUGAGGUGUUGGGAGGGGAAAAUCGGGUACCAACGGCGGAGGAGAAAAUAGCGGAAAAUUGGGAGUGUCGUCUGGAUCAGGAGGGGACCACCAAGGGAAGACAGGUUCUGCCGGUGGAGGUGGCGAAGCAACUAGUGGUGGUGGGAAGACAAAGAAUGGCGGAGGUUCUGGCGGAGGUGGGGAAGGAACUAAAGGUGGUGGUGGAAUU
This 582-nucleotide unclassified non-coding RNA is filed under the name Hevea brasiliensis (rubber tree). Lineage: Eukaryota; Viridiplantae; Streptophyta; Magnoliopsida; Malpighiales; Euphorbiaceae. The record is from RNAcentral.